RNAcentral lists this non-coding RNA (30 nucleotides) under Homo sapiens (human). Lineage: Eukaryota; Metazoa; Chordata; Mammalia; Primates; Hominidae. The record is from RNAcentral.
ACCUGGUUAGGUAGAACUGUGGUGGAGCUA